AUGAACGCUGGCGGCGUGCUUAACACAUGCCAGUCGAACGAAGCAUUUGCGACAGAUUUUUUCGGAAUGAAGUUGCUUAUGACUGAGUGGCGGACGGGUGAGUAACGCGUGGGUAACCUGCCUUGUACUGGGGGAUAGCAGCUGGAAACGGCUGGUAAUACCGCAUAAGCGCACAAUGUUGCAUGACAUGGUGUGAAAAACUCCGGUGGUAUAAGAUGGACCCGCGUCUGAUUAGCUAGUUGGUGAGAUAACAGCCCACCAAGGCGACGAUCAGUAGCCGACCUGAGAGGGUGACCGGCCACAUUGGGACUGGGACACGGCCCAGACUCCUACGGGAGGCAGCAGUGGGGAAUAUUGCACAAUGGAGGAAACUCUGAUGCAGCGACGCCGCGUGAGUGAAGAAGUAAUUCGUUAUGUAAAGCUCUAUCAGCAGGGAAGAUAGUGACGGUACCUGACUAAGAAGCUCCGGCUAACUACGUG
RNAcentral lists this ribosomal RNA (480 nucleotides) under uncultured bacterium. RNAcentral describes it as "partial 16S ribosomal RNA". It matches the Rfam family "Bacterial small subunit ribosomal RNA", at positions 29 to 507 of the family's 1533-position model. The record is from RNAcentral.